GUGUCAGCCGCCGCGGUAAUACGUAGGUGGCAAGCGUUGUCCGGAAUUACUGGGCGUAAAGGGUGCGCAGGCGGACAUUUAAGUGAGAUGUGAAAGACCCGGGCUUAACUUGGGCAGUGCAUUUCAAACUGGAUGUCUGGAGUGCAGGAGAGGAGAACGGAAUUCCUAGUGUAGCGGUGAAAUGCGUUGAGAUUAGGAAGAGAACCAGUGGCGAAGGCGGGUCUCUGGAC
RNAcentral lists this ribosomal RNA (230 nucleotides) under uncultured bacterium. RNAcentral describes it as "partial 16S rRNA". It matches the Rfam family "Bacterial small subunit ribosomal RNA", at positions 505 to 734 of the family's 1533-position model. The record is from RNAcentral.